CGGACGGGUGAGUAACGCGUGAGCAACCUGCCUUUCAGAGGGGGAUAACGAUUGGAAACGAUCGCUAAUACCGCAUAACGUCCGGAUGGGACAUCCUGUCUGGACCAAAGGAGAAAUCCGCUGAGAGAUGGGCUCGCGUCCAAUUAGCUAGUUGGCGGGGUAAAGGCCCACCAAGGCGACGAUUGGUAGCCGGACUGAGAGGUUGAACGGCCACAUUGGGACUGAGACACGGCCCAGACUCCUACGGAAGGCAGCAG
This 257-nucleotide ribosomal RNA is filed under the name uncultured bacterium. RNAcentral's name for it is "partial 16S ribosomal RNA". It matches the Rfam family "Bacterial small subunit ribosomal RNA", at positions 99 to 354 of the family's 1533-position model. The record is from RNAcentral.